CGUGUAGGCGGUUUCGUAAGUCGGAUGUGAAAGCUCCUGGCUCAACUAGGAGAGGCCAUUCGAUACUGCGGGACUUGAGGACGGGAGAGGGACGUGGAAUUCCCGGUGUAGUGGUGGAAUGCGUAGAUAUCGGGAGGAACACCAGUGGCGAAGGCGACGUCCUGGCCCGCACCUGACGCUAAGACGCGAAAGCGUGGGUAGCGAACG
This 207-nucleotide ribosomal RNA is filed under the name uncultured bacterium. RNAcentral describes it as "partial 16S ribosomal RNA". It matches the Rfam family "Bacterial small subunit ribosomal RNA", at positions 568 to 774 of the family's 1533-position model. The record is from RNAcentral.